AUCGCUUCUCAGCCUUUUGGCUAAGAUCAAGUGUAGUAUCUGUUCUUAUCAGUUUAAAUUAUGUGCAAAAGAGUUACACAUAAGAGAGAAAGGUGAGAGAAGCUAGAAUACCACACCAGCACAAACUAUACCAGGGACUGAACCAGAAACUUCAGGUAUUUAAAUUUUGAGUUCUACCUAUU
This is a non-coding RNA of Erinaceus europaeus (western European hedgehog), 182 nucleotides long. The record is from Rfam. NCBI's taxonomy places the organism in Eukaryota, Metazoa, Chordata, Mammalia, Eulipotyphla, Erinaceidae.